AACGAACGCUGGCGGCAGGCCUAACACAUGCAAGUCGAGCGAGGACUUCGGUCCUAGCUGCUGACGGGGGAGUAACGCGGGGGAACGUGCCCUUUUCUUCGGAAUAGCCCUGUUAAACUGGGGGUAAUACCGGAUGAGUCCCUUUGGGGAAAGAUUUAUCGGCGAAGUAUCGGCCCGCGUUGGUUUGGGUGGUUGGUGUCGUAAUGGCCUACCACGGCGACGAUCCAUAGCUGGGUUGAGAGGAUGAUCAGCCACACUGGGAGUGAGAAGCGGACCAGACUACUACGGGAGGCAGCAGUGGGGAAUCUUAGAAAAUGGGGGAAAUGCUGAACUAGCCAUGCUGGGUGAGCGAUGAAGGCGUUAGGGAUGUAAAGCUCUUUCAGAUGCGAAGAUACUGACGGUACCAGAAGAAGAAGCACCGGCUAACUUCGUG
RNAcentral lists this ribosomal RNA (433 nucleotides) under uncultured bacterium. Its description in RNAcentral is "partial 16S ribosomal RNA". It matches the Rfam family "Bacterial small subunit ribosomal RNA", at positions 29 to 507 of the family's 1533-position model. The record is from RNAcentral.